This 1082-nucleotide long non-coding RNA is filed under the name Salmo salar (Atlantic salmon). Its description in RNAcentral is "lncRNA (ENSSSAG00000113754.1)". The record is from RNAcentral. Lineage: Eukaryota; Metazoa; Chordata; Actinopteri; Salmoniformes; Salmonidae.
UGACAUUCUUUAUGAUAGUCACAUUAGCAGCUAAUUAGAAUUUAAUUUUUUUGGGGGGGGGGGGGGUAUGCGAAUAUAUUGAUAAACAUCACCUUGUCCUGGAGAGAUUUACAUGGUUAUCAAAACAUCACGCCAGGUGCAACUCUACCAGUUUCUGAUUUUUAGGAGGGGUUGAAUUUCAUGCCAGUUCAGCAUGAAUAAUCUAAGACAAUAUGAGUCUCCAGCUGAGAGUGAUCACAUGCGCAGUUCGGCACGAGACAACCGUUGGACCCGAUGACGUGUGUCUGCGCAUGAGCUUAGAUAGCCAACGUCGCCAUGACAUCGCCUACGAGCGUGAUCGGGGAUUUCUAUUGGAGAAGCAUGUUCUGCCUAUCUCCAUUCUGUUGGCACUGGACUGUGAAGGUGUCGUUACUGGAGCUGCAAUGACAACAAUGUAGAUGCAUAUUUGAGAUGCAAAUGAAUAAUGAAAAUGUGAUGAUAGAGCACAGAUCUGUCUGUGUGUGUGUGUGUCUAAAUGAGGACUAAUUGUUGAUUUGAGUAUUCAGCCAGGACUCACGAACAACUGUCAACAACACUGAAUCAUAAUCAGGGCUGGAUGACUCCUUAAAUAACUCUCAUCAAAGUCACAUUGACUGUAAUGAAGCAUCAACAUUAGGGAUAAACCAUUGGGAACAGACAGCUAGACCUUGUCCAAUGCAACAACAAAAAGCUGGCAUCCUGCAAAACAUGUAGGCUAUUGUAUGUGACUGUAGGAAAAACGCAUACGAGUUUAGGUCUAGAGUGACAUCCUUUGUAGCUAUUAUUCAUUGAAAAUAUUUUGCUGUCAACUUUCAUUUCAUCAAGAGUUGUAGGUAGAUUUCGAUGGCUAACCCAUUUGUACAAGUCCUGUUGGAAAAUGUAUGUGGGUUUUAACCCACAAGAUCGAUUGCUUUCAGAUACAAAAUGUGUAUGUUUCACAGCUUACAGCCAGGCCAAUGUACUACUCCUCCAGCCCUACUCAUAGUGCUGCGUCUUGUGGACUGGCGACGUGUGUAUGUUUCUGCAGGUGAGAACAAGGUAAAGGACGAGGCUUGUAAAAUCAC